UACGGGGGGAGCAAGCGUUGUUCGGAUUUACUGGGCGUAAAGGGCGCGUAGGCGGUCAGCACAAGUCAGUUGUGAAAGCCCCGAGCUUAACUUGGGAAUUGCGCUUGUGACUGGCGUGCUGGAGUGUGGCAGAGGGAGGUGGAAUUCCACGUGUAGCAGUGAAAUGCGUAGAGAUGUGGAGGAACACCGAUGGCGAAGGCAGCCUCCUGGGCCAGCACUGACGCUCAUGCACGAAAGCGUGGGGAGCAAACAGG
Molecule: ribosomal RNA, 254 nt
Filed under: uncultured bacterium
Lineage: Bacteria
Description: partial 16S ribosomal RNA
Rfam family: Bacterial small subunit ribosomal RNA
Source: RNAcentral